UACGUAGGGUGCGAGCGUUGUCCGGAAUUAUUGGGCGUAAAGAGCUCGUAGGUGGUUUGUCGCGUUGGUCGUGAAAACCGGGGGCUUAACCCUCGGCGUGCGGGCGAUACGGGCAGACUUGAGUGCUGCAGGGGAGACUGGAAUUCCUGGUGUAGCGGUGAAAUGCGCAGAUAUCAGGAGGAACACCGGUGGCGAAGGCGGGUCUCUGGGCCGAUACUGACGCUGAGGAGCGAAAGCGUGGGGAGCGAACAGG
This 253-nucleotide ribosomal RNA is filed under the name uncultured bacterium. RNAcentral's name for it is "partial 16S ribosomal RNA". It matches the Rfam family "Bacterial small subunit ribosomal RNA", at positions 524 to 776 of the family's 1533-position model. The record is from RNAcentral.